This 76-nucleotide long non-coding RNA is filed under the name Neodiprion lecontei (redheaded pine sawfly). Its description in RNAcentral is "uncharacterized LOC124295260". The record is from RNAcentral. Lineage: Eukaryota; Metazoa; Arthropoda; Insecta; Hymenoptera; Diprionidae.
UACACUACGCUCUUCCGAUCAGUAAUAAUGUUGCAAAGAAUCUGUAACCGCGAGGUUUUGGUGAGAAUUAGUGCUA